This is a long non-coding RNA of Brassica oleracea var. oleracea, 372 nucleotides long. RefSeq lists it as uncharacterized. The transcript is spliced from 3 exons. NCBI's taxonomy places the organism in Eukaryota, Viridiplantae, Streptophyta, Magnoliopsida, Brassicales, Brassicaceae. The record is from RefSeq and is a predicted model, not a curated record.
GGGUUAAUCAUGGGAAAGACUCGGGGCAUGGGAACAGGGCGUUGUAGACCCAUAGGGUUACCACGUCCUCGCCGUUCUCUAUUCCGACCUCUCUCAGUCGGAGAAAGAUGCUUACAACGAAAGAGAUUGGCCGCGCUGCGUCGCACGAAGAAUACACUAGGCUCUCAAGUCUCGUUGCCUAUCAAAUCAGAUAAGAGUCUGAAGAGAACUGAUCAGACCACUUUGUCUCCGGAACUGAUAUUCAGGGAAAGUUGUCGUCUGAUGUUGUUGCUAGCACCUCGAAGCCUCAGACGUCAUCAUCAAGGUUGUCCUAUUUGUAAUUUUGAUUAUUCUCUCUAUAAUUAAGCAGUAGCUAGGUGGUAUUUGUUGUUA